Molecule: ribosomal RNA, 519 nt
Filed under: uncultured bacterium
Lineage: Bacteria
Description: bacterial SSU rRNA
Rfam family: Bacterial small subunit ribosomal RNA
Source: RNAcentral
AAUCAACGCUGGCGGCGUGCCUCAGACAUGCAAGUCGAACGCGAAAGCCCCCUUCGGGGGGCAAGUAGAGUGGCGCACGGGUGAGUAACACGUAGGUAAUCUACCUUUGGAUGGGGAAUAACCACCGGAAACGGUGGCUAAUACCGCAUAAUGCAGCGGCACCUAAUGGUGACAGUUGUUAAAGCGGGGGAUCGCAAGACCUCGCGUCUAAAGAGGAGCCUGCGGCGGAUUAGCUAGUUGGUAAGGUAACGGCUUACCAAGGCGAUGAUCCGUAGCCGGCCUGAGAGGGCGGUCGGCCACACUGACACUGACAUACGGGUCAGACUCCUACGGGAGGCAGCAGUCGGGAAUUUUGGGCAAUGGGCGAAAGCCUGACCCAGCAACGCCGCGUGAAGGAUGAAAUCCUUCGGGAUGUAAACUUCGCAAGAACGGGAAGAAUAAGCCGGUGUCAACACCACCGGCGAUGACGGUACUGUUUGUAAGCACCGGCUAACUCCGUGCCAGCAGCCGCGGUAAUAC